GGGGUCGACUGGUUUUGACAGCGAGUGGAAUUGAUUAGUAAGCACGUCGAGCAUUGUACUUUUUGCUCGUAAAUCCAAAGGUACGAACUUAUAAACGGCGAAAAUAAUUACGCUUUAGCUGCUUAAUCCGAAGUUUAGUACGAUUUGCCUAGUCCCGACAAGGUCGGGAAGCUAGAUUCACCUCAAAAGCCUUGGUUUAUGGCGGUUGGUACAGGUGAACCGUAAAAGUAAACCUAGGAAAGGUAAUGCUUUGAAUCCUUUCUGACAACUAUAAAGCUAAGCAAAAAGUGGCUGUUCUUGGCCUUGCUUUUUGUCGAAAACUCAAUCAAGAAAUAAGCGUGUAGAAAGCUAUUGGAUUGCUUGUUUGGACCCGAGUUCGAUUCUCGGCGACUCCACUA
RNAcentral lists this transfer-messenger RNA (398 nucleotides) under Flavobacterium sp. It matches the Rfam family "transfer-messenger RNA". From Rfam's summary of the family: Bacterial tmRNA, also known as 10Sa RNA or SsrA, is named for its dual tRNA and mRNA-like properties. Lineage: Bacteria; Pseudomonadati; Bacteroidota; Flavobacteriia; Flavobacteriales; Flavobacteriaceae. The record is from RNAcentral. RNAcentral also lists the same sequence under 1 other name.